GGGUUGUGAGGUUAAGCGACUAAGCGUACACGGUGGAUGCCCUGGCAGUCAGAGGCGAUGAAGGACGUGCUAAUCUGCGAUAAGCGUCGGUAAGGUGAUAUGAACCGUUAUAACCGGCGAUUUCCGAAUGGGGAAACCCAGUGUGUUUCGACACACUAUCAUUAACUGAAUCCAUAGGUUAAUGAGGCGAACCGGGGGAACUGAAACAUCUAAGUACCCCGAGGAAAAGAAAUCAACCGAGAUUCCCCCAGUAGCGGCGAGCGAACGGGGAGCAGCCCAGAGCCUGAAUCAGUGUGUGUGUUAGUGGAAGCGUCUGGAAAGGCGUGCGAUACAGGGUGACAGCCCCGUACACAAAAAUGCACAUAUUGUGAGCUCGAUGAGUAGGGCGGGACACGUGGUAUCCUGUCUGAAUAUGGGGGGACCAUCCUCCAAGGCUAAAUACUCCUGACUGACCGAUAGUGAACCAGUACCGUGAGGGAAAGGCGAAAAGAACCCCGGCGAGGGGAGUGAAAAAGAACCUGAAACCGUGUACGUACAAGCAGUGGGAGCCUCUUUUAUGGGGUGACUGCGUACCUUUUGUAUAAUGGGUCAGCGACUUAUAUUCUGUAGCAAGGUUAACCGAAUAGGGGAGCCGAAGGGAAACCGAGUCUUAACUGGGCGUUAAGUUGCAGGGUAUAGACCCGAAACCCGGUGAUCUAGCCAUGGGCAGGUUGAAGGUUGGGUAACACUAACUGGAGGACCGAACCGACUAAUGUUGAAAAAUUAGCGGAUGACUUGUGGCUGGGGGUGAAAGGCCAAUCAAACCGGGAGAUAGCUGGUUCUCCCCGAAAGCUAUUUAGGUAGCGCCUCGUGAAUUCAUCUCCGGGGGUAGAGCACUGUUUCGGCAAGGGGGUCAUCCCGACUUACCAACCCGAUGCAAACUGCGAAUACCGGAGAAUGUUAUCACGGGAGACACACGGCGGGUGCUAACGUCCGUCGUGAAGAGGGAAACAACCCAGACCGCCAGCUAAGGUCCCAAAGUCAUGGUUAAGUGGGAAACGAUGUGGGAAGGCCCAGACAGCCAGGAUGUUGGCUUAGAAGCAGCCAUCAUUUAAAGAAAGCGUAAUAGCUCACUGGUCGAGUCGGCCUGCGCGGAAGAUGUAACGGGGCUAAACCAUGCACCGAAGCUGCGGCAGCGACGCUUAUGCGUUGUUGGGUAGGGGAGCGUUCUGUAAGCCUGUGAAGGUGUGCUGUGAGGCAUGCUGGAGGUAUCAGAAGUGCGAAUGCUGACAUAAGUAACGAUAAAGCGGGUGAAAAGCCCGCUCGCCGGAAGACCAAGGGUUCCUGUCCAACGUUAAUCGGGGCAGGGUGAGUCGACCCCUAAGGCGAGGCCGAAAGGCGUAGUCGAUGGGAAACAGGUUAAUAUUCCUGUACUUGGUGUUACUGCGAAGGGGGGACGGAGAAGGCUAUGUUGGCCGGGCGACGGUUGUCCCGGUUUAAGCGUGUAGGCUGGUUUUCCAGGCAAAUCCGGAAAAUCAAGGCUGAGGCGUGAUGACGAGGCACUACGGUGCUGAAGCAACAAAUGCCCUGCUUCCAGGAAAAGCCUCUAAGCAUCAGGUAACAUCAAAUCGUACCCCAAACCGACACAGGUGGUCAGGUAGAGAAUACCAAGGCGCUUGAGAGAACUCGGGUGAAGGAACUAGGCAAAAUGGUGCCGUAACUUCGGGAGAAGGCACGCUGAUAUGUAGGUGAAGUCCCUUGCGGAUGGAGCUGAAAUCAGUCGAAGAUACCAGCUGGCUGCAACUGUUUAUUAAAAACACAGCACUGUGCAAACACGAAAGUGGACGUAUACGGUGUGACGCCUGCCCGGUGCCGGAAGGUUAAUUGAUGGGGUCAGCGCAAGCGAAGCUCUUGAUCGAAGCCCCGGUAAACGGCGGCCGUAACUAUAACGGUCCUAAGGUAGCGAAAUUCCUUGUCGGGUAAGUUCCGACCUGCACGAAUGGCGUAAUGAUGGCCAGGCUGUCUCCACCCGAGACUCAGUGAAAUUGAACUCGCUGUGAAGAUGCAGUGUACCCGCGGCAAGACGGAAAGACCCCGUGAACCUUUACUAUAGCUUGACACUGAACAUUGAGCCUUGAUGUGUAGGAUAGGUGGGAGGCUUUGAAGUGUGGACGCCAGUCUGCAUGGAGCCGACCUUGAAAUACCACCCUUUAAUGUUUGAUGUUCUAACGUGGACCCGUGAUCCGGGUUGCGGACAGUGUCUGGUGGGUAGUUUGACUGGGGCGGUCUCCUCCUAAAGAGUAACGGAGGAGCACGAAGGUUGGCUAAUCCUGGUCGGACAUCAGGAGGUUAGUGCAAUGGCAUAAGCCAGCUUGACUGCGAGCGUGACGGCGCGAGCAGGUGCGAAAGCAGGUCAUAGUGAUCCGGUGGUUCUGAAUGGAAGGGCCAUCGCUCAACGGAUAAAAGGUACUCCGGGGAUAACAGGCUGAUACCGCCCAAGAGUUCAUAUCGACGGCGGUGUUUGGCACCUCGAUGUCGGCUCAUCACAUCCUGGGGCUGAAGUAGGUCCCAAGGGUAUGGCUGUUCGCCAUUUAAAGUGGUACGCGAGCUGGGUUUAGAACGUCGUGAGACAGUUCGGUCCCUAUCUGCCGUGGGCGCUGGAGAACUGAGGGGGGCUGCUCCUAGUACGAGAGGACCGGAGUGGACGCAUCACUGGUGUUCGGGUUGUCAUGCCAAUGGCACUGCCCGGUAGCUAAAUGCGGAAGAGAUAAGUGCUGAAAGCAUCUAAGCACGAAACUUGCCCCGAGAUGAGUUCUCCCUGACCCUUUAAGGGUCCUGAAGGAACGUUGAAGACGACGACGUUGAUAGGCCGGGUGUGUAAGCGCAGCGAUGCGUUGAGCUAACCGGUACUAAUGAACCGUGAGGCUUAACCUUACAACGCCGAAGCUGUU
RNAcentral lists this ribosomal RNA (2930 nucleotides) under Escherichia coli. Its description in RNAcentral is "23S ribosomal RNA". It matches the Rfam family "Bacterial large subunit ribosomal RNA". Lineage: Bacteria; Pseudomonadati; Pseudomonadota; Gammaproteobacteria; Enterobacterales; Enterobacteriaceae. The record is from RNAcentral.